GGGGACUCGAUGAGGAGAAAGUGACGCGGAGGCAAAGACCUGGGCGCCGCAGCAGCGAGUGGGGGAGGGGAGGGCGCGUGGUCCGAAUCCCUGCGCGCAAUGAGGCGGCUGCCCGGGCUUUGUGAGGCGGCAGCGCGACGCCGGGUGGCCCAGCAGCGGGCGGGUGCCGGGGGCGGAAGCGCGGCCACAAGAGGGGGCGAUUCACCGCCGCCCCCCGUGGGACCUGGGUCCUCUACGCGGGACCGCAGGGGCCCCGAGUCGCGGGUUGGGCAAGGUCGCCCGCUCCGGGUCGCUCGGAAGGGUCAUUUCACGGACCGGUCGUCUGGGGCCAGUGCGUCUUGCCCCGCACGGAAGACCCCUCGCUUCGAGGACAGGAAAGCUUUUAAAGCAUCUGUUAAUUCAGCAAGCACUAACAAGUGAUGGAGAUUAAAAAAAAAAAAGGAAUGAGCCACAGCUUUGCCAUCAAAGACUUCAGCGUCUCUUAGGGGAAACAGAUGAACAAAGAUUUCUAACAAGAGAGAGAAUAUCUUCCCGAUUCGACUCCCAUAUGUCAAGAGACUCAGAUGUGACUCAUAUUUGCCUGCCAGGAGGAGGAAAAAGAAAUACACUGUCCAGGAGCAACUCCUUAGUGGGUACCCACCAGAAGUGGUCUCCAAACAAGGGUCUCGCUGAUCCCAAAGAUGAAGAGACAAAACCGGCCUUGCUUGCCCCCAAGGUGAGACUUCGGAUCUGUGGUGAGGGAGGGAAAAAUUCCAGCAGACCCAAGAGGAAGGCUACAGAAGAAAGGACAGAAGCGUGGAGAGAAAUUCUAAGCAGGAGGCUGGGGAAGAAGGAAGAGCUUCAGGUCACUGGGUCACCCCACCAGGAGAUAGUCCCCUUGUGGCCUUGAGACUUAUGCAAUGGGCAGAUGCAAUCUGGGUACCUAAGGCAAGGAUUGCCCUUAUUCUGGCCAUGACAUUUAACACCUAAUUGCAGCAAUAACCCCUCUUUUCCACCUGGAGAAAGCUUCCUGGCCCCUCUUUUUCACUUGUGGGUAAGUCUGGCCAAGAGCAGGGUGAAGAAACCCAUAGUCUAACACAGCUGUUCCAAGCUCUGAGGAUGAAGAAGUGGGAAGAGGAGACAAGUCCCUCCAAUCUAGUCGGGAAGGUGUAUUCUCACUGUUUCACCUCAGGCUGUUCUCAAGUGUGUCUGAUCCAUAAUAGGAACACAGUGUUCAUGCAUUCAUGCUGGUCUUGCUUGGAAAAAGAUCAUCUUUCUUGGUUUUUUGGCUAUAACAAAUAGUUUGUAUUAAUAGUAGCCAAAUUUUUAACUUUCCAUCAAAAUAUGCCAUGUCCAAUUUUGUCCAUAAUUAUGUUAACUCAGGAGCUCAAAAUUGUGCCAUAUUUAUCCAAGAGAAAUAAAAACAUAUUCACAAAAAAACCUCUUUGUACCAGAAUGUAGUGUUCAUUGCAGCUUUAUUUCUAAUAGCCAAAAAAAAAAAAAAAAACACCCCAGCCGAGAUAUCCAUCAAUAGGAGAAUGGAUAAACAAGUUGUGGCAUAUUCACCAAUGAAAAGGAAUGAGCCACUGAUGCAAGCAAAUGGCAUAAGUGAGUCUCAGAAACAUUCUUCUGAGUGAAAGAAGAGUACACACUGCAUCAUGAUUCCAUCUAUAUGCAGACCCGACUAGAACAGGCACAACUAAUCUAUGGUGGGAAAACGUGAAGCCACAAGGGAUGGGGGCAAGAAUCGAGUGGGUAGGGGCAUGGGAGACCUUCUGAGGGUGAUGGCAGU
RNAcentral lists this long non-coding RNA (1771 nucleotides) under Homo sapiens (human). Its description in RNAcentral is "long non-coding RNA NONHSAT190981.1". Lineage: Eukaryota; Metazoa; Chordata; Mammalia; Primates; Hominidae. The record is from RNAcentral.